UGCACCCUACGGGAGGCAGCAGUGAGGAAUAUUGGUCAAUGGGCGGGAGCCUGAACCAGCCAAGCCGCGUGAAGGAAGAAGGCGCCAAGCGUCGUAAACUUCUUUUGUCGGGGAACAAAGGGCGCCACGUGUGGCGUUGUGAGUGUACCCGAAGAAAAAGCAUCGGCUAACUCCGUGCCAGCAGCCGCGGUAAUACGGAGGAUGCGAGCGUUAUCCGGAUUUAUUGGGUUUAAAGGGUGCGUAGGCGGAUUUUUAAGUCAGCGGUAAAAUGUCCGGGCUCAACCCGGGCCGGCCGUUGAAACUGG
Molecule: ribosomal RNA, 305 nt
Filed under: uncultured bacterium
Lineage: Bacteria
Description: bacterial SSU rRNA
Rfam family: Bacterial small subunit ribosomal RNA
Source: RNAcentral